AUAAGUAAUGNGAAUUGCAGAAUUCAGUGAAUCAUCGAAUCUUUGAACGCACCUUGCGCUCCUUGGUAUUCCGAGGAGCAUGCCUGUUUGAGCGUCGU
This 98-nucleotide ribosomal RNA is filed under the name Vuilleminia macrospora. RNAcentral describes it as "partial 5.8S ribosomal RNA". It matches the Rfam family "5.8S ribosomal RNA", at positions 58 to 154 of the family's 154-position model. Rfam says of the family: 5.8S ribosomal RNA (5.8S rRNA) is a component of the large subunit of the eukaryotic ribosome. Lineage: Eukaryota; Fungi; Basidiomycota; Agaricomycetes; Corticiales; Vuilleminiaceae. The record is from RNAcentral.